This 311-nucleotide long non-coding RNA is filed under the name Populus trichocarpa (black cottonwood). RNAcentral's name for it is "long non-coding RNA (PTRI_LNC003595)". The record is from RNAcentral. Lineage: Eukaryota; Viridiplantae; Streptophyta; Magnoliopsida; Malpighiales; Salicaceae.
AGCGAGCAAUUCACUGCUAUGUUCAGGAGAAAAGCUUUCUUGCAUUGGUACACUGGUGAAGGUAUGGAUGAGAUGGAGUUCACAGAAGCUGAGAGCAACAUGAAUGAUCUUGUGUCCGAGUACCAGCAGUACCAGGAUGCCACUGCCGACGAGGAGGGUGAGUACGAUGACGAGGAGGAAGAGGAGGGUCAGUAUGCGGAGCAGAUGUGAAGGAGUGUCACAACCAAGCAUGAACAGUAAUAUCCGAUUCCUAUCGAUGCUUCACUAUGGUAUAUGAAGCUCGCAUAAGUUAGCUCCAUGUAUGUUAUUGA